This 223-nucleotide unclassified non-coding RNA is filed under the name uncultured fungus. RNAcentral's name for it is "sequence contains ITS1, 5.8S rRNA gene". The stretch from base 175 to 223 matches the Rfam family "5.8S ribosomal RNA", at positions 1 to 49 of the family's 154-position model. The record is from RNAcentral. Lineage: Eukaryota; Fungi.
UCUCCGUAGGUGAACCUGCGGAGGGAUCAUUACCGAAUGUGCCCGCAAGACUUGUCUUGUCGGGGCAUUUACCCACCCUUGUAUGUGAAAAUGUACCUACCGAUCCCCGUCAUGGGGAUCUAUCAUGCACAACCACGCUUACAUCAUGACUUCUGAUAGCACAUAACAAAACAAAACUUUCAACAAUGGAUCUCUUGGUUCUGGCAUCGAUGAAGAACGCAGC